AGCAGCAGGGGUUUAACUCAAGCCUGACACAGGCAAACAUCCGACCAGCCCUUCCUCCGCCCGGCUGCUCCAGAACCACCUGCGGCGAGCAGGGCUUUGAGAACAUCGGGCCGUGGUUUCCGCACGUCAGGCCGCCUGUGGCCUCCGCCAAGCGUCUGAGAGUGAAGCAUUGCUGACGCACUCCACGAGGUCCUGGCCAGACCCCACUCAGGACAUCCCGCUGCACAGGCCCCUGGUUGCUGGGUCAGCGCUGCCACCAGGCUCAGACUCACCCCAGGGCCCUCCUUGGGCCACCUUUCUCUGCCUCCUUGGUCAAGGCCCAGACCCAGGCCCCACCAGGCCCUGCCUCCUCACACUCGCGGCGGCCGCUGGGUCUUCUACCGCAUGGUGCCAGCUCCCUCUCCUCCGCUGCGGUGUCCUAGCCCAGCUCUCUCCCUGCCAGGCCCUCUGAAGUUCCACCCCCUGGCACUCAGCUCAUGGUGGGAACAGGACCAGGCUCUCCUGUUGCCAAGGGCAGUGAGAUGUUCGUAGCUUUAUUUCCCAGUACAUUGAUUUUACUGAUUUUAGUUUAUCUUCAGUUGAAUAAUUGUGUGUAUUGAUGGGGUUUAUGUUUUAUGGGGUUUGGCGUGAUGUUCUG
Long non-coding RNA from Homo sapiens (human), 637 nucleotides. Ensembl annotates it as PDE6B antisense RNA 1. Its record names the gene PDE6B-AS1. NCBI's taxonomy places the organism in Eukaryota, Metazoa, Chordata, Mammalia, Primates, Hominidae. The record is from Ensembl.